This 1005-nucleotide long non-coding RNA is filed under the name Anolis carolinensis (green anole). RNAcentral's name for it is "lncRNA (ENSACAG00000014173.4)". The record is from RNAcentral. Lineage: Eukaryota; Metazoa; Chordata; Lepidosauria; Squamata; Anolidae.
UGGGGCCAAUGGAGAGGGGAAUGGGGAAGUCUUUGGGGUGAGGAGAAAAUAAUAGUAAUAAUAAUAAUAAUAAUACUAAUAAUACUAUGGGGCCAAUGGAGAGGGGAAUGGGGAAGUCUUUGGGAUGAGGAGAAAAUAAUAAUAAUAAUAAUAAUAAUAAUAAUAAUAAUAAUAAUAAUAAUAAGGGACCAAUGGAGAGGGGAAUGGGGGAGUCUUUGGGGUGAGGAGAAAAUAAUAAUAAUAAUAAUAAUAAUAAUAAUAAUAAUAAUAAUAAUAAUAAUAAUAUGGGGCCAAUGGAGAGGGGAAUGGGGGAAGAGUCUUUGGGGUGAGGAGAAAAUAAUAAUAAUAAUAAUAAUAAUAAUAAUAAUAAUAAUAAUAAUAAUAAUACUAUGGGGCCAAUGGAGAGGGGAAUGGGGAAGUCUUUGGGGUGAGGAGAAAAUAAUAGUAAUAAUAAUAAUAAUAAUACUAAUAAUACUAUGGGGCCAAUGGAGAGGGGAAUGGGGAAGUCUUUGGGAUGAGGAGAAAAUAAUAAUAAUAAUAAUAAUAAUAAUAAUAAUAAGGGACCAAUGGAGAGGGGAAUGGGGGAGUCUUUGGGGUGAGGAGAAAAUAAUAAUAAUAAUAAUAAUAAUAAUAAUAAUAAUAAUAAUAAUAUGGGGCCAAUGGAGAGGGGAAUGGGGGAAGAGUCUUUGGGGUGAGGAGAAAAUAAUAAUAAUAAUAAUAAUAAUAAUAAUAAUAAUAAUAAUAAUAAUAAUAAUAAUAAUAUGGUGCCAAUGGAGAGGGGAAUGGGGGAAGAGUCUUUGGGGUGAGGAGAAAAUAAUAAUAAUAAUAAUAAUAAUAAUAAUAAUAAUAAUAAUAAUAAUAAGGGACCAAUGGAGAGGGGAAUGGGGGAAGAGUCUUUGGGGUGAGGAGAAAAUAAUAAUAAUAAUAAUAAUAAUAAUACUAUGGGGCCAAUGGAGAGGGGAAUGGGGGAGUCUCAAAGCAGAUAGUGUGAUGGACCUGCCUUGA